GUUCCAGAAUGUUGCUUUGCAAUAUUUCAACCUAUCCGAUCAUCGGGUCACCAUUGCUAGAUAGUUACAUCGAUUGGUAUAGAAAGUUAUUUCUAUAUUAUCGAUUUAGGUUCAAACCUAUGGGGUCACACGUAUUGGAAGAUUUGGUCAGAUCUGAUGGCUAAAGGGUCUAAUUAAAUUGUGACUCUGGUGAGGAGUCCCACUGGAACUGGGACUCAAGAGGAGAGUCCCACUGAAACUAAGAUUUUACUAUUAAUAGAAAAUUAAUUAGUAAUUAGAUUACUAAUUGACUCAAUUUGAUUAAGUGAAGAGCUUUGGAUUAAGUCUAAUUGAAUUAGAUUUAAUUCGACUCAGAUUGGGUUUGAUAUGA
Molecule: long non-coding RNA, 370 nt
Filed under: Elaeis guineensis (African oil palm)
Lineage: Eukaryota; Viridiplantae; Streptophyta; Magnoliopsida; Arecales; Arecaceae
Description: long non-coding RNA (EGUI_LNC069787)
Source: RNAcentral